Molecule: ribosomal RNA, 253 nt
Filed under: uncultured bacterium
Lineage: Bacteria
Description: partial 16S ribosomal RNA
Rfam family: Bacterial small subunit ribosomal RNA
Source: RNAcentral
UACGAAGGGGGCUAGCGUUGCUCGGAAUCACUGGGCGUAAAGCGCACGUAGGCGGCUUUCUAAGUCAGGGGUGAAAUCCUGGAGCUUAACUCCAGAACUGCCUUUGAUACUGGAGAGCUUGAGUCCGGGAGAGGUGAGUGGAACUCCGAGUGUAGAGGUGAAAUUCGUAGAUAUUCGGAAGAACACCAGUGGCGAAGGCGGCUCACUGGCCCGGUACUGACGCUGAUGUGCGAAAGCGUGGGGAGCAAACAGG